GCGCCACGGGAGCAAUCCUGGUGGCGAUGGCGCAACGGGUGAGUAAUAUAUCGGAACGUGCCCAGUAGUGGGGGAUAGCCCGGCGAAAGCCGGAUUAAUACCGCAUACGACCUGUGGGUGAAAGCGGGGGAUCGCAAGACCUCGCGCUAUUGGAGCGGCCGAUAUCAGAUUAGCUAGUUGGUGGGGUAAAGGCCUACCAAGGCGACGAUCUGUAGCUGGUCUGAGAGGACGACCAGCCACACUGGGACUGAGACACGGCCCAGACUCCUACGGGAGGCAGCAGUGGGGAAUUUUGGACAAUGGGCGCAAGCCUGAUCCAGCCAUGCCGCGUGUGGGAAGAAGGCCUUCGGGUUGUAAACCACUUUUGUCAGGGAACAAACGGUUUGUCCUAAUACGGUGAACUAAUGACGGUACCUGAAGAAUAAGCACCGGCUAACUACGUGCCAGCAGCCGCGGUAAUACGUAGGGUGCAAGCGUUAAUCGGAAUUACUGGGCGUAAAGCGUGCGCAGGCGGCUUUGCAAGACAGAUGUGAAAUCCCCGGGCUCAACCUGGGAACUGC
This 560-nucleotide ribosomal RNA is filed under the name Aquabacterium sp. MG66. Its description in RNAcentral is "bacterial SSU rRNA". It matches the Rfam family "Bacterial small subunit ribosomal RNA", at positions 68 to 624 of the family's 1533-position model. The record is from RNAcentral. Lineage: Bacteria; Pseudomonadati; Pseudomonadota; Betaproteobacteria; Burkholderiales; Sphaerotilaceae.